Molecule: long non-coding RNA, 345 nt
Filed under: Triticum aestivum (bread wheat)
Lineage: Eukaryota; Viridiplantae; Streptophyta; Magnoliopsida; Poales; Poaceae
Description: long non-coding RNA (TAES_LNC005978)
Source: RNAcentral
UGGCCAACAAACAUAGGCAAAAUACCGAGACGACCGGACGAUCACAUUUUUUGCAAAGUUACGGUAACAAGGAACGGAACAUGAACCGUACGUUUUUAUUCUUAUUAUUAUUCUCUCGCAUGCAUCGAUCGAGAUGCAGCAGCUGGCUAGUGGUGAUACGGAUAUACAUACGACAUACGUACGUAGAAGGCGGCACACACACACACAUUCAAGUAGGUACACAGACGUAUGAUUCCAUGGGCUAGCUAGCUGACGUACGGCGAGGGCCAGCUAGCCGUAGCACAUAUUAUGAUCAGCACUGCCUGAUGCACUUGCACCGGCGGAAGGGUCCGUCGCAGUUGCCGC